AGCAGCCGCGGUAACUCCAGCUCCAAUAGCGUAUAUUAAAGUUGUUGCAGUUAAAAAGCUCGUAGUUGAAUUUCGGGAUCAGUUGGUCGGUCGUGCCUCGGUACGUACUGGUCAAAUUGAUUCCUACCUUCUGACGAACCACGAUGUCAUUAAUUUGGUGUCGUGGGAAAUCAGGACUGUUACUUUGGAAAAAUUAGAGUGUUUAAAGCAGGCUCGCGCUUGAAUACAUUAGCAUGGAAUAAUGAAAUAGGACGUUUGAUUCUAUUUUGUUGGUUUCUAGGAUCGACGUAAUGAUUAAUAGGGAUAGUUGGGGGCAUUAGUAUUCAAUUGUCAGAGGUGAAAUUCUUGGAUUUAUUGAAGACUAACUACUGCGAAAGCAUUUGCCAAGGAUGUUUUCAUUAAUCAAGAACGAAAGUUAGGGGAUCGAAGACGAUCAGAUACCGUCGUAGUCUUAACCAUAAACUAUGCCGACUAGGGAUCGGAUGAUGUUAAUUUUUAAUGUACUCAUUCGGCGCCUUAC
Molecule: unclassified non-coding RNA, 520 nt
Filed under: uncultured Glomus
Lineage: Eukaryota; Fungi; Glomeromycota; Glomeromycetes; Glomerales; Glomeraceae
Description: SSU rRNA
Rfam family: Eukaryotic small subunit ribosomal RNA
Source: RNAcentral